Molecule: ribosomal RNA, 497 nt
Filed under: uncultured bacterium
Lineage: Bacteria
Description: partial 16S ribosomal RNA
Rfam family: Bacterial small subunit ribosomal RNA
Source: RNAcentral
GAUGAACGCUGGCGGCGUGCCUAAUACAUGCAAGUCGAGCGAACAGAUGAGCAGCUUGCUCCUCUGACGUUAGCGGCGGACGGGUGAGUAACACGUGGAUAACCUACCUAUAAGACUGGGAUAACUUCGGGAAACCGGAGCUAAUACCGGAUAAUAUAUUGAACCGCAUGGUUCAAUAGUGAAAGACGGUUUUGCUGUCACUUAUAGAUGGAUCCGCGCCGCAUUAGCUAGUUGGUAAGGUAACGGCUUACCAAGGCAACGAUGCGUAGCCGACCUGAGAGGGUGAUCGGCCACACUGGAACUGAGACACGGUCCAGACUCCUACGGGAGGCAGCAGUAGGGAAUCUUCCGCAAUGGGCGAAAGCCUGACGGAGCAACGCCGCGUGAGUGAUGAAGGUCUUCGGAUCGUAAAACUCUGUUAUUAGGGAAGAACAAAUGUGUAAGUAACUAUGCACGUCUUGACGGUACCUAAUCAGAAAGCCACGGCUAACUACGUG